UACGUAGUUAGCCGUGACUUUCUAAGUAAUUACCGUCAAAUAAAGGCCAGUUACUACCUCUAUCUUUCUUCACUACCAACAGAGCUUUACGAGCCGAAACCCUUCUUCACUCACGCGGCGUUGCUCCAUCAGACUUUCGUCCAUUGUGGAAGAUUCCCUACUGCUGCCUCCCGUAGGAGUUUGGGCCGUGUCUCAGUCCCAAUGUGGCCGAUCAGUCUCUCAACUCGGCUAUGCAUCAUUGCCUUGGUAAGCCGUUACCUUACCAACUAGCUAAUGCACCGCAGGUCCAUCCAAGAGUGAUAGCAGAACCAUCUUUCAAACUCUAGACAUGCGUCUAGUGUUGUUAUCCGGUAUUAGCAUCUGUUUCCAGGUGUUAUCCCAGUCUCUUGGGCAGGUUACCCACGUGUUACUCACCCGUCCGCCGCUCGCUUGUAUCUAGUUUCAUUUAGUGCAAGCACUAAAAUCAUCUAGGCAAGCUCGCUCGACUUGCAUGU
RNAcentral lists this ribosomal RNA (494 nucleotides) under uncultured Lactobacillus sp. RNAcentral's name for it is "partial 16S ribosomal RNA". The record is from RNAcentral. Lineage: Bacteria; Bacillati; Bacillota; Bacilli; Lactobacillales; Lactobacillaceae.